UGAAAUGCAAUGUUUUUCUGUUGUGGUCUGUUUGAUGGGGAUUGAUGCACAUGUAGGUCAUAUCUCUGUGUGUUUGGACCGAGGGAACAACACUAGCUUAUUAGCUUACUUUUCAUCAAGUACUAGUAUUAGUUGAGAUGUAGAUGGACUGUUUCUUUCAUGAUUUUAUCGAUAUAAAGUUGUUUACAUGUUUUUUAUCUGGAUGUCUUAUACAUGACAGAAGCUUGUGAUUUUAUCUGGAUGUCUUAUACAUGACAGAAGCUCCUUCGCCUCCAGAUCCGGCGGCCGGUAAUGGCGCCGUCGCCUCCGCACCCGCACCCGCAAGCAGCGCCGCCCCUCUGAGCCGCUCUCCACGCAUCACGGAGUCUCCGUCGCCGUCGCCCUCCACCCCAUGGCUGCCUCGACCACGCCCCCUACCCACCCGAGGUACUUGUGGUGAGAAGCAACCUCCGGCUGAUCGUCAGGGUCAUGGCGCCCCCUCACCCCGUGCAUUUGGCGCCUUGCAGCGGGGACUUGGAUUGCAUCUGGAAGCUGCUUGCGUGGGGAGCUGAUCGGCUCCAAAGAGACUCUGCUGGGGGAGAACUAGAUCCCUGCCAUGGUCUUGCCUUACACAUUGUUGGUCUGCUUAAUUUUGUGCUAUGAGAUGCUGGGCUUUAAUGUUUCUUCGUGAGCAUCAGUAAAAAGAAGUCGGAGGAAGAAUAGUUCUUGCUCAUUGGAGCUAGUUCUGAGAGUAAUGGAGUCCUUUAUGCUGCUCCUAUUUGUAUGUGUGUUAUGUGAUGUAGCAGAAUCUGGCUCCUGUGAUUGUACACUUGUGGAGCUUGUUAUCUGAUUGUAAACUUGAUGCUGAUCACAUUUGUAUGUGUGUUAUAUGAUGUAGCACUUUGAUGAUUGAUAAUAUUUGAAGUA
Long non-coding RNA from Triticum dicoccoides, 906 nucleotides. RefSeq lists it as uncharacterized. The record is from RefSeq and is a predicted model, not a curated record. The transcript is spliced from 3 exons. Lineage: Eukaryota; Viridiplantae; Streptophyta; Magnoliopsida; Poales; Poaceae.